CCUACGGGAGGCAGCAGUGGGGAAUAUUGCACAAUGGGCGCAAGCCUGAUGCAGCGACGCCGCGUGAGGGAUGACGGCCUUCGGGUUGUAAACCUCUUUCAGUAGGGAAGAAGCGAAAGUGACGGUACCUGCAGAAGAAGCGCCGGCUAACUACGUGCCAGCAGCCGCGGUAAUACGUAGGGCGCAAGCGUUAUCCGGAAUUAUUGGGCGUAAAGAGCUCGUAGGCGGUUUGUCGCGUCUGCCGUGAAAGUCCGGGGCUCAACUCCGGAUCUGCGGUGGGUACGGGCAGACUAGAGUGAUGUAGGGGAGACUGGAAUUCCUGGUGUAGCGGUGAAAUGCGCAGAUAUCAGGAGGAACACCGAUGGCGAAGGCAGGUCUCUGGGCAUUAACUGACGCUGAGGAGCGAAAGCAUGGGGAGCGAACAGGAUUAGAUACCCUGGUAGUCCAUGCCGUAAACGUUGGGCACUAGGUGUGGGGGACAUUCCACGUUUUCCGCGCCGUAGCUAACGCAUUAAGUGCCCCGCCUGGGGAGUACGGCCGCAAGGCUAAAACGUCAAAGGAAUUGACGGCUGAGACGNGCGACGACGACGACGAGGGAGAGG
Molecule: ribosomal RNA, 602 nt
Filed under: uncultured bacterium
Lineage: Bacteria
Description: bacterial SSU rRNA
Rfam family: Bacterial small subunit ribosomal RNA
Source: RNAcentral